GCAAGUCGAGCGCACCCUUCGGGGCGAGCGGCGGACGGGUUAGUAACGCGUGGGAAUAUACCCUUCACUAUGGAAUAGCCUCGGGAAACUGAGAGUAAUACCGUAUACGCCCUUUGGGGGAAAGAUUUAUCGGAUUUGGAUCAGCCCGCGUUAGAUUAGAUAGUUGGUGGGGUAAUGGCCUACCAAGUCUACGAUCUAUAGCUGGUUUUAGAGGAUGAUC
RNAcentral lists this ribosomal RNA (220 nucleotides) under uncultured bacterium. RNAcentral describes it as "partial 16S ribosomal RNA". It matches the Rfam family "Bacterial small subunit ribosomal RNA", at positions 57 to 305 of the family's 1533-position model. The record is from RNAcentral.